This 515-nucleotide ribosomal RNA is filed under the name uncultured bacterium. RNAcentral describes it as "bacterial SSU rRNA". It matches the Rfam family "Bacterial small subunit ribosomal RNA", at positions 32 to 518 of the family's 1533-position model. The record is from RNAcentral.
ACGACGCUGGCGGCGUGCCUAAUACAUGCAAGUCGAACGGCUUUUCUAUGGAAGCUUGCUUCCACUGAGGAGAUAGUGGCGAACGGGUGAGUAACACGUGGGUAACCUGCCCAUAAGAGGGGGAUAACAUCCGGAAACGGGUGCUAAUACCGCAUAGUUUUCUUGAUCGCAUGAUCGGGAAAGGAAAGACGGCCUUUGUGCUGUCGCUUAUGGAUGGACCCGCGGCGUAUUAGUUAGUUGGUGAGGUAACGGCUCACCAAGACGAUGAUACGUAGCCGACCUGAGAGGGUGAUCGGCCACAUUGGGACUGAGACACGGCCCAAACUCCUACGGGAGGCAGCAGUAGGGAAUCUUCCGCAAUGGACGAAAGUCUGACGGAGCAACGCCGCGUGAGUGAAAGAAGGUUUUCGGAUCGUAAAACUCUGUUGUCAGAGAAGAACAAGUUGGAGAGUAACUGCUCCAGCCUUGACGGUAUCUGACCAGAAAGCCACGGCUAACUACGUGCCAGCCGCCGC